CGCGUAGGCGGUGCGGUAAGUCUUCUGUGAAACCUCCGGGCUCAACUCGGAGCCUGCAGGGGAAACUGCCGUGCUCGAGUGUGGGAGAGGUGAGUGGAAUUCCCGGUAUAGCGGUGAAAUGCGUAGAUAUCGGGAGGAACACCUGUGGCGAAAGCGGCUCACUGGACCACAACUGACGCUGAGGCGCGAAAGCUAGGGGAGCAAACAGGAUUAGAUACCCUGGUAGUCCUAGCCCUAAACGAUGAUCGCUUGGUGUGACAGGUACCCAAUCCUGUCGUGCCGGAGCUAACGCGUUAAGCGAUCCGCCUGGGGAGUACGGUCGCAAGGCUGAA
This 332-nucleotide ribosomal RNA is filed under the name uncultured bacterium. Its description in RNAcentral is "bacterial SSU rRNA". It matches the Rfam family "Bacterial small subunit ribosomal RNA", at positions 568 to 898 of the family's 1533-position model. The record is from RNAcentral.